CCUACGGGUGGCAGCAGUGGGGAAUAUUGGACAAUGGGCGAAAGCCUGAUCCAGCCAUGCCGCGUGUGUGAAGAAGGCCUUCGGGUUGUAAAGCACUUUCAGUGGGGAAGAAAGCCUUGGGGCUAAUACCCUCGAGGAAGGACAUCACCCACAGAAGAAGCACCGGCUAACUCCGUGCCAGCAGCCGCGGUAAUACGGAGGGUGCGAGCGUUAAUCGGAAUUACUGGGCGUAAAGCGCGCGUAGGCGGUCUGAUAAGCCGGUUGUGAAAGCCCCGGGCUCAACCCGGGAACGGCAUCCGGAACUGUCAGGCUAGAGUGCAGGAGAGGAAGGUAGAAUUCCCGGUGUAGCGGUGAAAUGCGUAGAGAUCGGGAGGAAUACCAGUGGCGAAGGCGGCCUUCUGGACUGACACUGACGCUGAGGUGCGAAAGCGUGGGUAGCAAACAGGAUUAGAUACCCUGGUAGUC
RNAcentral lists this ribosomal RNA (465 nucleotides) under Vreelandella stevensii. Its description in RNAcentral is "partial 16S ribosomal RNA". It matches the Rfam family "Bacterial small subunit ribosomal RNA", at positions 338 to 795 of the family's 1533-position model. The record is from RNAcentral. Lineage: Bacteria; Pseudomonadati; Pseudomonadota; Gammaproteobacteria; Oceanospirillales; Halomonadaceae.